Molecule: ribosomal RNA, 506 nt
Filed under: uncultured bacterium
Lineage: Bacteria
Description: bacterial SSU rRNA
Rfam family: Bacterial small subunit ribosomal RNA
Source: RNAcentral
AGCGGCAGACGGGAGAGUAACACGUGGGAACGGGCCCUUCAGUUCGGAACAACCCAGGGAAACUUGGGCUAAUACCGGAUACGUCCGUAAGGAGAAAGAUUUAUCGCUGAAGGAUCGGCCCGCGUCUGAUUAGCUAGUUGGUGAGGUAACGGCUCACCAAGGCGACGAUCAGUAGCUGGUCUGAGAGGAUGAUCAGCCUCACUGGGACUGAGACACGGCCCAAACUCCUACGGGAGGCAGCAGUGGGGAAUAUUGGACAAUGGGCGCAAGCCUGAUCCAGCCAUGCCGCGUGGGUAAUGAAGGCCCUAGGGUUGUAAAGCCCUUUCGGCGGGGAAGAUAAUGACGGUACCCGCAAAAAAAGCCCCGGCUAAUUUCGUGCCAGCAGCCGCGGUAAUACGAAGGGGGCUAGCGUUGCUCGGAAUCCCCUGGGCGAAAGGCGCACGUAGGCGGCUUUUUUAAGUCCGGGGGGGAAAUCCUGGGACCUCAACUCCCAAAAUUGCCCUUGA